AGGUAGUUAGUCCAACAUAAGACCUUUGAUUUCGGCUCAGAAAACCGCGGUUCGAGUCCGCGACUCCCUU
This 70-nucleotide transfer RNA is filed under the name Neosalanx taihuensis. Its description in RNAcentral is "tRNA-Arg". It matches the Rfam family "tRNA". From Rfam's summary of the family: Transfer RNA (tRNA) molecules are approximately 80 nucleotides in length. Their secondary structure includes four short double-helical elements and three loops (D, anti-codon, and T loops). The record is from RNAcentral. RNAcentral also lists the same sequence under 1 other name. Lineage: Eukaryota; Metazoa; Chordata; Actinopteri; Osmeriformes; Salangidae.